UCUCUAUCCAUUCGCCUUGAUAGUCGAAACGCAUUUUUUUCUCAACCCAAUCGAUGCAAGUACAUCCAAUUUGUGUCAGCCAUGCCAUCCCCAAUACUAGAUCAUAACCGCGCAACUCAAAAAGCAUAACAUCUAUCUCCCAUUCAACCCCUUGAACAGAAAUAAUUACACCAUGACAUUCUCCCAAAGUCGGAACCACAUGUCCGUCACCCAAUCUGAUACGUCUAACAGGAGUCUCGGUAAUUCGCAAACCCAAAGCCAAAGCUAGACGCCUUGACAUGAAAUUUUUGUUUGCUCCACUGUCAACCAACAUCAGCACCGGUAUCUCCCUCACUUUCCCUUGAAAUCUGAUGCAUUGAAACCUAUCUUGAUAAUACUCGGUUUGUCUAUCAAAGGUCAACGCAUUUUCAAAAGUCAGCACAUUCAAUUGCAACUCUUCUGCACCUGUGUCCACAUCUUCAUCAUUCAACACUCUUACUUCAUUUUCAUCUUCAGAAUCAUCCUCAAGCACCAUAACACUCAAAUUUUUAUCCGGACAUUGAUGACGUGGAUGAUACGGACCUCCACAUUUAAAACAGAGUCCUUUUUGACGACGGUCAGCAAUCUCUUGUGAAGACAGACUCCGCACAUUCUUGUCACGCCAAUUUGCAGUGUUGAUAGUGUGUGUUUUGUUUUGUCCAACAUUAAACAUUCCACGUGCACGAUUGUUUCCUCCACUGUUUCCUCCAGGAAAACGAUCACGAUUGUCUUUGUUAUUACGAAUCAUAACCCAAUCGCUAUUUCUACCUUCAUUCUGUGUGACAACUUUGUUACCAAAAACGGGUCGAGAUAGUGAUCAUGCUGCGAACCUUUCCUCUGAUUUUGUCCUUCAAACCAUGAACGAAAUAACCCAAAUAUUGGUCAUUGGGUAAUUUGGGCAGUUGCGCUACUAACCUUUCAAAAUCUGCAAUGUAUUCUUCAAUCGUUCCUUCCUGUUGAAGUGCAGAAAGUUGUUCAAAUACAUUCCCAUCACUAACACCACCAUACCUUUCAAGAAGUGCAUCUUUCAAAUCUUCCCACGUCAAUGUUUCAUUCUCCUCCAACAAUCCUUUGAAAAAAUGGAUUGUUGGACCGUCCAUACAUAAUUGUGCCAAAUUCACUUUGAUUUCUGGUGUAGUAUUCUGCACAUUGAAAUAAACUUCCGCCCUAGCGAUCCAACCAGCGGGAUCAUCACCAUUAAACAUCAGUAAUUCAACCUUUUUAACAGAUAGGCGAAAUUCAUCCAAGGCUUCAUCAUGUAAUUCAGAAUUUUUCUUUUUGUUACCAACUGAUUCAUUAUAGUGCGAUGAUUCUCCCACAUUCUUCUCCUUACUUGAAUUCAAUAAAGAGAUGAUCUUCUCCUGGUUCUCCUUGUUUUGAUUCUGCAUUUCAUGUAAAGAAACCUCCAAAGUUGCGAUUUUCUCUUCAAGUGCAGUCACUUUGGCCUCCAUCUUUUUCGGUGGCAUCCGGCAGGU
This 1493-nucleotide long non-coding RNA is filed under the name Medicago truncatula (barrel medic). RNAcentral describes it as "lncRNA gene12580". The record is from RNAcentral. Lineage: Eukaryota; Viridiplantae; Streptophyta; Magnoliopsida; Fabales; Fabaceae.